Molecule: ribosomal RNA, 254 nt
Filed under: uncultured bacterium
Lineage: Bacteria
Description: partial 16S ribosomal RNA
Rfam family: Bacterial small subunit ribosomal RNA
Source: RNAcentral
UACGGAGGGUGCGAGCGUUGUCCGGAUUUAUUGGGCGUAAAGAGCUCGUAGGUGGUUCGGUAAGUCGGGUGUUAAACCCCCAGGCUCAACCUGGGGACGCCACUCGAUACUGCUGUGACUAGAGUCCGGUAGGGGAGCGUGGAAUUCCUGGUGUAGCGGUGAAAUGCGCAGAUAUCAGGAGGAACACCGGUGGCGAAGGCGGAUCUCUGGGCCGAUACUGACGCUGAGGAGCGAAAGCGUGGGGAGCGAACAGG